UGACAGGCUCCCCGGGAAGCAGGGGGUCCGCAGAAUCUCUGGAGAGUUCCAAAAGGGGUUCCCGGGUGUUCUUUCCGCUGCUUUUGGACAACCCAGAGAUUCUUUGGAGAAUGUUCCAGAACACAGAGGAGUAAACUCCACCCAGCCACAACCCUGGGAAGGCAAGAAGGCAAGGGCAGGGUUCAAAUGACCUCUUGUGCCUCAAAACCUGCUCCAGAUCCAGAGACAUGCCUGUCACCUGCCCAGUUAUCAAUCUCACCCCCUUUGUCACUCCUCACCCCAAGGUAUCCACCUGACCGUGGUUCAGACUCCCCCAAAUCUUCCCUCCCUUCCCUUCGCUCGCUGGCUCUCAUCUUCUCCCACCUGCUCCUGCCUUAGCCUCUCCAGGCAGCCCCCUCCCAGGCCAUUCUUGCAGAGCUUCUGCUAGAGAAGUUGUGGAAAGGCUGAUCCCCCACCCUUUUAAUGGCUUUCAGUUACCUUCUGGGUACAACUCAAAUUCCUCAGUGGAGCCCUCUUCCUCCCUGGGAGCCCUUCCCAGAAGUCCACCUCUCAGACCUGGGGGACAGGCCCAUCAAAGUCUGCCUGAAGCCCUCCACCUCGGCACCUGCUCCUUCUGCCGGGAGUACCUUCCCCCAAACCCUGUUCCUUUCCUUGACUCCUGCUCCUCUUGAGUUUUGUUUUCAGUGCUUACACCACUCUCUCAUUUCUAGACCUUUACAUUUUGAAUAAAAGCAUCUGUUGUAUUUGCUAUCUUACAGGGUC
Molecule: long non-coding RNA, 762 nt
Filed under: Marmota monax (woodchuck)
Lineage: Eukaryota; Metazoa; Chordata; Mammalia; Rodentia; Sciuridae
Source: RNAcentral